RNAcentral lists this unclassified non-coding RNA (306 nucleotides) under plant metagenome. RNAcentral describes it as "partial contains 5.8S ribosomal RNA, internal transcribed spacer 2, and large subunit ribosomal RNA". The stretch from base 1 to 105 matches the Rfam family "5.8S ribosomal RNA", at positions 50 to 154 of the family's 154-position model. The record is from RNAcentral.
GAAAUGCGAUAAGUAAUGUGAAUUGCAGAAUUCAGUGAAUCAUCGAAUCUUUGAACGCACAUUGCGCCCGCCAGUAUUCUGGCGGGCAUGCCUGUCCGAGCGUCAUUUCAACCAUCAAGCCCCCGGGCUUGUGUUGGGGACCUGCGGCUGCCCGCAGGCCCUGAAAACCAGUGGCGGGCUCGCUGUCACACCGAGCGUAGUAGCAAUCACCUCGCUCAGGGCGUGCUGCGGGUUCCGGCCGUUAAACAGCCUUACAAAACCCAAGGUUGACCUCGGAUCAGGUAGGAAGACCCUCUGAACUUAAGC